GGGGGUGACUGGCUUCGACAGUGAAAUCAGCGCAUCUAAAUGCGCGGCAAAGCUGGAGUGCCUUUCAAAUCCACUUCAAAAUUCAAGUGCGAACAAAGCAUUUGCGCCGUCUUACGCUUUAGCCUAAGCGGCCGUCCACGAGUGUAGAGCUUGAGUAAGCUCGCCGGGCGUCAUUCUUCAAGCACUGACAGACGGUGUCCGACGUUUGUCUAAGAUCAGGACUCGACAUGUCGCGUUUCUGUUCAUCUUUUAUUCGGCAUGUUUAAACCUUCAGAUGACCUACGCCGCGUAGAAUUUUCCCUGCGUUUUUCACUGGACUCGGGAUCAUUCCCCGACACCUCCACCA
This 346-nucleotide transfer-messenger RNA is filed under the name Candidatus Kaiserbacteria bacterium RIFCSPHIGHO2_01_FULL_54_36. It matches the Rfam family "transfer-messenger RNA". From Rfam's summary of the family: Bacterial tmRNA, also known as 10Sa RNA or SsrA, is named for its dual tRNA and mRNA-like properties. The record is from RNAcentral. RNAcentral also lists the same sequence under 2 other names. Lineage: Bacteria; Candidatus Kaiseribacteriota.